Molecule: transfer RNA, 57 nt
Filed under: Bos taurus (domestic cattle)
Lineage: Eukaryota; Metazoa; Chordata; Mammalia; Artiodactyla; Bovidae
Also listed under: 3 other names
Rfam family: tRNA
About the family: Transfer RNA (tRNA) molecules are approximately 80 nucleotides in length. Their secondary structure includes four short double-helical elements and three loops (D, anti-codon, and T loops).
Source: Rfam by way of RNAcentral
UGGCUUAGAUGGUAAAGAAUCUGCUUGCAAUGCAGGAGACUUGGGUUCAACCCCCAG